This 90-nucleotide transfer RNA is filed under the name Shewanella atlantica. RNAcentral describes it as "tRNA-Ser". It matches the Rfam family "tRNA". Rfam says of the family: Transfer RNA (tRNA) molecules are approximately 80 nucleotides in length. Their secondary structure includes four short double-helical elements and three loops (D, anti-codon, and T loops). Lineage: Bacteria; Pseudomonadati; Pseudomonadota; Gammaproteobacteria; Alteromonadales; Shewanellaceae. The record is from RNAcentral.
GGUGAGGUGUCUGAGUGGCUGAAGGAGCACGCCUGGAAAGUGUGUGAUGGGUUAAACCAUCCGAGGGUUCGAAUCCCUCCCUCACCGCCA